This 459-nucleotide ribosomal RNA is filed under the name uncultured bacterium. Its description in RNAcentral is "partial 16S ribosomal RNA". It matches the Rfam family "Bacterial small subunit ribosomal RNA", at positions 338 to 795 of the family's 1533-position model. The record is from RNAcentral.
CCUACGGGUGGCAGCAGUGAGGAAUAUUGGUCAAUGGCCGGAAGGCUGAACCAGCCACGCCGCGUGAGGGAGGACGGCGCAGAGCGUCGCAGACCUCUUUUGCCGGGGGACAAAAGGCCGGACUCGUCCGGUCCUGAGGGUACCCGGCGAAAAAGCAUCGGCUAACUCCGUGCCAGCAGCCGCGGUAAUACGGGGGAUGCGAGGGUUAUCCGGAUUCAUUGGGUUUAAGGGGUGCGAGGGGGGGCCUUAAAGCCGGCGGUGAAAUUGCGGGGCUCAACCCCGCCGGGCCGUCGGAACUGGGGGCCUUGAGUGCGGCGGAGGCAUGCGGAAUGCGCGGUGUAGCGGUGAAAUGCAUAGAUAUCACGCAGAACCCCGAUGGCGAAGGCAGCGUACCGUGCCGCCACUGACGCUGAGGCACGAAAGCGCGGGGAGCAAACAGGAUUAGAUACCCUUGUAGUC